GAUGAACGCUGGCGGCGUGCCUAAUACAUGCAAGUCGAGCGAACGGACGAGAAGCUUGCGUCUCUGAUGUUAGCGGCGGACGGGUGAGGAACACGUGGAUAACCUACCUAUAAGACUGGGAUAACUUCGGGAAACCGGGGCUAAGACCGGAUAAUAUUUUGAACCGCAUGGUUCAAAAGUGAAAGACGGUCUUGCUGUCACUUAUAGAUGGAUCCGCGCUGCAUUAGCUAGUUGGUAAGGUAACGGCUUACCAAGGCAACGAUGCAUAGCCGACCUGAGAGGGUGAUCGGCCACACUGGAACUGAGACACGGUCCAGACUCCUACGGGAGGCCGCAGUAGGGAAUCUUACGCAAUGGGGGAAAGCCUGACGGAGGAACGCCGCGUGAGUGAUGAAGGUCUUCGGAUCCUAAAGCUCUGUUAUUAGGGAGGAACAUAUGUGUAAGUACCUGUGCACAUCUUGACGGUACCUAAUCAGAAGGCCCCGGCUAACUCCGUG
RNAcentral lists this ribosomal RNA (497 nucleotides) under uncultured bacterium. RNAcentral describes it as "partial 16S ribosomal RNA". It matches the Rfam family "Bacterial small subunit ribosomal RNA", at positions 28 to 507 of the family's 1533-position model. The record is from RNAcentral.